AUGGGGACUGCGCACUGUACCUAUACAUACAUUGCAACACUAAAGCUAGCUUUGAGAAGAGAAAAAAGGCAAGAGAAGAAGAAGAAGACGAACAGUGGCGGUUCAUCCGGUGGAAACAACCAAGGCAAGAAGAAGGGCAAGAAACGUGCGCUGACCGCUGAAGAGCUGAAAAACCGGCGGCUUGAGAACGUGCAGCCUACCUCUUGGGACGAUGAGUGGAUUGUAACACUGAACAUCACAGAUAAUGUGGUGGAGGAUGAAGACACUAGUAGCAUCGUGAGCAGUUUCUCGACAGACAGCCCCUUCUCGAUAGACGCCGAGGAGGAGACUGACAAGGAGGAGGCUGACAAUGAGGAGGAGGAGGAGGAGGAUGAAGAGGAGGCUGACAAUGAGGAUGAGGAGGAGGAGGUGGAGGCUGACGGAGACGGUGACAAGAAAAAGGAGGAUCAGACUGACGACGACAACGGCGACCAGACUGACGAUGACAACGGCGAGGACCUCAGCUAG
RNAcentral lists this ribosomal RNA (507 nucleotides) under Triticum aestivum (bread wheat). RNAcentral's name for it is "partial small subunit ribosomal RNA". The record is from RNAcentral. Lineage: Eukaryota; Viridiplantae; Streptophyta; Magnoliopsida; Poales; Poaceae.